UUGCUUCAGCAGCACAUGUACUAAAAUUGGAACGAUAUGGAGAAGAUUAGCAUAGCUCCUGCACAAGGAUAACACGCAAAUGGGUGAAGUGUUCCAUAUUAAA
Molecule: small nuclear RNA, 103 nt
Organism: Prolemur simus (greater bamboo lemur)
Lineage: Eukaryota; Metazoa; Chordata; Mammalia; Primates; Lemuridae
Source: Ensembl